GACGAACGCUGGCGGCGUGCUUAACACAUGCAAGUCGAACGGUAAGGCCCUGCUUGCAGGGUACUCGAGUGGCGAACGGGUGAGUAACACGUGGGUGAUCUGCCCUGCACUUCGGGAUAAGCCUUGGAAACGGCGUCUAAUACCGGAUAUGAGCCAUGUUUAGUGUGAUGGUUGGUAAGUUUUUUCCGUGUUGUAUGAGCUCGCGGCCUAUCAUCUUGUUGGUGGGGUAAUGGGCUACCAAGGCGGCGGCGGGUAGGCGGCCUGAGAGGGUGGACGGCCAAAUUGGGAAUGAGAACCGGCCCAGAAUCCUAAGGGGGGGAGGCGGGGGGAAUAUUGCAACAUGGGCGCAAGCCCGAUGCAGCGAAGCCGCGGGGGGGAUGACGGGCUUCGGGUUGGAAACUCCUUUCGCGAGGGACGAAGCUGAUUGUGACGGUACCUAGAGAAGAAGCACCGGCUAACUACGUG
This 465-nucleotide ribosomal RNA is filed under the name uncultured bacterium. Its description in RNAcentral is "partial 16S ribosomal RNA". It matches the Rfam family "Bacterial small subunit ribosomal RNA", at positions 28 to 507 of the family's 1533-position model. The record is from RNAcentral.